CCGGACAAAGAUCACGCCGGUGCCUCGAGAGAGGCUUAAAACGGGAAUGCGGUGAGAGGGUUUUCUCCUCGAAUCCGCGGCUGUCCCUGCAACUGUAAGCGGUGAGCGUGAUCCACAUCGUGGCGGGGGAGACCCUGCCGCAGCCACUGGGCCGGACGCUGCAACAUGCGAGGCCUGGGAAGGCGUGGAUCAUGCAUGGACCCGUGAGCCAGGAGACCUGCCGGCGUGCGUCGCUUUUG
Molecule: non-coding RNA, 239 nt
Filed under: Novosphingobium sp.
Lineage: Bacteria; Pseudomonadati; Pseudomonadota; Alphaproteobacteria; Sphingomonadales; Sphingomonadaceae
Source: RNAcentral